AGUCUGUAGUAGAAUGACUAUACUGACACUAGGGAGAGAAUGGAGCUUGGCCUAGAGGGAAGAGAAUAUGUGGAGAAGGAGCCAGAUAGAGGCUAUGUAGGAAACAGUCCAGGGAAACUGCAGCAAGGUGUGGAACAGUGCAGAUGUUAGCUGCUGGUUGUAGGGUCCCUGGGCUGGAACCCAGAGAAGAAGCCAGGCCUAGGUUCCUCUAGCAGCCACUGGGGAAUUGUUACUAUUGAGGGGAAGUGCACUGGAAGACUACCUGGGACGGUUGGUACAGAGAGACUUUGAUACACAACCUCUACCUACAGUGACCUGACCAGAGGGGCAAGCCCCAAAGAGGGAGCUGUCAAGUCUCGAGGAGAGAGGGAGUGAACACUUACAGGAAGGGGCAUCAGACUGGCAUCCCAGAUGUGGCCAGCAGAAGGCACUCCAGUAGUGAGUAGAGCACCCUGUGGCCCUCUGAUUCAACAUAAGUGCUUAGAUAUUAAGCAUGAAAGGAUACAUCUCCGCUCCAACAUCAGAGAACUCCUUGAUCAGUUCGUCAUGCAUCAGAGCGCUCCUUGAUCAACCCGUUGAUCGACCUUGCAGCCGGAGAUCCCCAUUUUGCAGAAGGGGAAACUGAGGAAUGAAGUGACCCUCGAACAUACACAAAGUCGGGGUAGAGCUGGAAACAGAACACAGAACCUAUGGGUGAAGCCAGGCCACAUUGCAGUCAGUGGAACUUUUACCAGAGACUUCAAUAGCCAGGAUUGCACCCUAAAUCUCCAGACUCCCAUUCCCAUAUGCUGGAAACUAAAGAAAACAAUAAAAGGUGGAGAUUUGGGCCUGAUUA
Long non-coding RNA from Chelonia mydas (Green sea turtle), 835 nucleotides. RefSeq lists it as uncharacterized. The transcript is spliced from 3 exons. NCBI's taxonomy places the organism in Eukaryota, Metazoa, Chordata, Testudines, Cheloniidae. The record is from RefSeq and is a predicted model, not a curated record.